UUCUAUUGUCUUUCAGGGCGUUAUGAGUCCUACGCCGGCCUGAGUGCAGCAGAGGAUUGUGGGAUACUGCACGGCUGUGAGAACAGCAGGUGUAUUCGUGUUGCCGAGGGUUACACCUGUGACUGUUACCAAGGAUACGAACUGGACAUGACCUCCAUGACGUGUAUAGAUAUAAACGAAUGUGAGGACGGAGUCAGCGUGGACUUCCCGUGCGUGAACGCUCGCUGCGUGAACACAGACGGCUCGUUCCGCUGCGUCUGCAGGAGAGGAUACGUCAUGUCCCGCAGACCAAACUACUGUGUGGCUGCGUAGACCGGACCGGUCUGGACUGGGCUCGAUUUACACCAGUAUAAACUGGUCUAGACAAUCUACUAGACUACAAUAGAUUAGACUAGACUUGGGCUUUACUACAGGGCCAUAUCUCAUAAACUCAAUGCCCUUUUUUAACGCCAUACUCUCUAUGACGGCUGAUUUCUGUAUUUAUAUGUCGUGGGGAGAAUGUAGGUUGGGGGGGCAGGGUGUCGCAGCGUCACAGAUCUUAACAAAUGUUUUUGGUUGUAGUGGACAUAAUUACUGGAUUUUCUCUGGAGAAGAAAAAUAACUACAGAAUGGGAACAGGAUUAACGGAUAGUAUAAUAAAGUGACGGUAAACAUAAUUUACUAGCUCAAAAAUUAAA
This is a long non-coding RNA of Micropterus dolomieu (smallmouth bass), 677 nucleotides long. RefSeq lists it as uncharacterized. NCBI's taxonomy places the organism in Eukaryota, Metazoa, Chordata, Actinopteri, Centrarchiformes, Centrarchidae. The transcript is spliced from 2 exons. The record is from RefSeq and is a predicted model, not a curated record.